UCAGGUUCAUGGGUGAGCCCCGAGCCCGGGCUCCCUCCCCGGCCCGCCGCAGCUCGGCCCCAGCCCCGGCUGCGGCCCCGGCAGCGGCCUCCGGGCCCGGCGCCGUGGAGCCCCGCCUGCCCUCGGGGCUGCUGCCGCCCUCUGGCAGCCGUGCCCGCCCCUGGGCGGCAGGAAGGGCAAGGGCCCGGGCUGAGCCGUGCCGGGGCAGGAGGCCGUGUGGCCGCAGGGCUGGCAGCGCCGCUGGCACGGAGCUGUGCCGCUGGGGCCGUGACACGCUCUGUGUUCGCAGGGACUGCCGCGGUGCUCAGGAGAGGGCAGCAGGAAGAGCUCCAGGUGCUCUGUGAGCCAUUCACGCCCUAAGGAAAGACACCAGUCUAUGCCUCAGUAAUCUGAAUAUUCAGGGGCAGUUUGCCAGAAGAACUGAGUAAUUGGGUUUGUCUUCAGGACGCAGUGAAACAGUGUCCCAAGAACAGCACCAGCAGCCACUGAAGAGGACACCACAGCCCACAAUGCUGCUGCAGCUCCAGGCACAGCUCAUGACUGGCACAGCUGAGCCUGUGGAAUGCUCACGUUGCUUCAGCUCUCUCCCUCCCUUCUGACAGCUCCUUACCUCCAGCCUUUAGACCCUGGCCAUCCCCAUUUUUUCCCUCCCAGCUUAUCCCCUUUGCUUCGCCUUGCGUCAAUAAACAGUUUGGCUUCUUCA
Molecule: long non-coding RNA, 703 nt
Organism: Prinia subflava (tawny-flanked prinia)
Lineage: Eukaryota; Metazoa; Chordata; Aves; Passeriformes; Cisticolidae
Exons: 2
Source: RefSeq, a predicted model, not a curated record